Molecule: long non-coding RNA, 2550 nt
Organism: Zonotrichia leucophrys gambelii
Lineage: Eukaryota; Metazoa; Chordata; Aves; Passeriformes; Passerellidae
Exons: 3
Source: RefSeq, a predicted model, not a curated record
GGGGCCAGGUGGUUUUUGGAGGCCACCUGAGGAAGGAGAAGUUUCAAAGUGAAGCUGGGGCGAGGCCAAGGCCAGUCAGAGCCAUGGAUGGAGGGGAAGAAGCUUGCUGAGCUCUCUGUGCACCACCCUCCAGUAAGUGUCACGCACAGUGGGGUCUGGAUUCAGGCAGAAACAACAACCCAAAGGAUUACUGCUGCCCACACAGGAAGUUUUCCAGGCAGGGAGUGCAAUCAGCAGCACUCCAGCAAGUCAAAACCCAGGAAACUCAACAGUGGAGGAUGAGGAUAGACGGGCUGCCUGACACCUAAUUGCUGUGAGACAGGAAAAACAGCAGGAAUAGGACAGAAGAUGCAAGGUGAUGCUGAAGUCAUGUUCUGCUGCUGGCCAUAAAGGUGAUUCACUGAACAGCGUGUCCCCUGUCAGAGGGAGGGAACAAUACGCAGGAACAUUUGGCAUUCCAGUCCAUGAGAAGACCCAAGCCAACUGUCCUGCUCUGCUCAUCAGCUGCUGCAGGAACCAACUACAGACAGCUCUAGGAAGAAAGGAAAAGGAAUACAACUUGACUAAAAUGAACUUUUAUUUCCACUGCUGUGAAGAAGGGGAAAGGGGAUGCUGACUCUUGUCGUUUUGCCUGUAAUUGUUAUUGCAGACACGACUGUGUUACAGGUGCUUCAGUCUCCACAAUCAAAAAGAAGAAACUCACAGCUAUUUAUGAGAGGCUUGGUGGAAAUCUGAACUUUGCAGAAAUUCCACCAAAGAGAGAAGGUGUGAAUGGUAACUGUGAAGAGGCUGAGGUACCAAGAGCAGUUUACUUAUAGUACCUUAAAGCAACCUGUACCUUUCCAAGUGUUCAGAAAGUAAUAAUCCUUGGAGUUACUAAUGCUCUGAGCACUGCUGCUGACCAAUCACUUAACCCCUUGAAGUCCUAUAGCUGAGAAAAAAAUGACUCCUAAUUCUAUAUUCCUGUUUCAUGCAACACUGCAAGAAGUGAAGCGUGCAGCAUCAGCAGUUUGUAUGAUCAUAAACAAAAAUAAUUUUUUCAGCCCCUAAGCAAAGUACUUGUCUCUUGGGUCAACAGAUCUUAGAAUUUAGCAGACCAAAUGAACCAGCAAAUGCAUGUUUUAUCCCAUUUUAAUGCUAACAAGAUAAAUGAUGGAUGAACACAAGUUUUUAGAAGAUUAAUUUAAAUACAGAUGUAAUCACAGCAGGCAGCAGUUCAGAGCAGAAACUGUGCCAAGUCCAUGUGAGGUCCUGCCUCUCUUCUUUGACUACUGGGAGUCAUUUCCAAGGCAAGGUCCCUAAAAUAUGUGCCAAAUAGCAAAUAUUUUAAAUCCCUCCUUCCUUUUUCCUUUCCCCUGCAUUGUCUGUAGUCCUCUGUGGCUCAAAACCUCAACUCUCAAGUCCUGCACUUGGACAGUAUCAGGUGUUUGCCUGUGAGGGUGAAUAUGCUCAUGCAUGUAUGGGUAGGCAGAUUAAUGUGUGACUGACUUCUCAGAAAGGAAAGAAACAAGAUCAAUAAAGAGCAACAGGGUCUACCCUGAGCUAAGUUUUUCCCAAGUCAGACUUGGAAGUUUAGCCCAUAUUUUACAGCAAAGUUCAGGUCAGUAAUUUUUAUCAACUAUGCAACUGAUGCUCUCAUUUUCUCUUGUUUGAUGAGAGUAAGACACUCUUUUCUCCAUGUAUACAUUGAUAUUUUUUUUAAACUAACCUCUCAAUUUUAAUUUUCCUCAGUUAAUAUCUGCUGGAUUAAUAGUCCAAAAAGAAGAACAGUUUAUAGUAGCAAGCAUAAGCAUCUAUGGAAUUAUAAUACUAACAAAGACAUUUCAUUUCCUAAAGUUGGUUUUCAUAAUGUGCAGAAAGCCUGGGGUUGCCCAGUCUCAUAAAGCAUCCAACCAACACAGGGACUGUAUAAAAUGAAUAUCCUCUCAAAAAAAAGCCCUCUGGAUUAUGAAGCUGUACAAAUUGUGUGACCUGUACAAAUGAGAGCAUGCUUCUAUCUCUGAAAAGGCAACCAAAUAAUUAAAGGGCUAAGAAACACUACUUGGUUCAGAUGAUCUCUUGGCAGAAUCCACAAGUUGAAACAGGAUGAAAACAGAAGACAGUUCACUUGUUAACAUCAUAAACUAAAGACAUUCAAAGCCUAGUCGGAAUCUCAGCCGUGAAUGCCAGCAUAUAAAACCUGUCAGCCUACAGGACUUCAUGUGUGUAGCAUACACACAUCUUUGCUGUGGCAAAAAUUAAAGGAAAAGCAAACUCAAGAGGAUGCUGCCGCAGGAAAUCUCAUCUAUGUUCAGGUUGGUAAAGCAAGUAAACAUACUCACAAGGCUAGUAUGAGCUAGGAACGUUUUCCUUCUUCAGUCCAACUUUAGGAAAAAGCACAACAGUCCUCCUCUGUUCUGAACCCCAAUAUUUCAAGUUCUCCGGCAGUACAAGAUCAGAUAAUUAACAAAAACCAAAGGAUGACGAAAUGAAGCCAGAUAAAUAACAAAUAUCUACAUACAUAAGCACACAGCAAGCAAGAUAAUGAAAAGUUAGCUAGAUUUACCGUUU